UCUUCCUACAGAAAGAUCUGCAUAUCUUCUGCCAUCCAUUAUGCAUGAAGCCACCAGCAUCACAGAAGGGUAUAUAUUUUCGCAUACACUACAGAACUUUAGCAUUGCGGUGCCUUGCACUGUGCAACGUCAUCCCUAUCCAUUCCCUCAACCUUCCCCCAUUCCCUCUAUCAGAAUUGAUUUUGCAAAGAAAAAUUAGCAAGGUGCAUUGCUUGGAUCCCUUUAAAGGCUGAAGUGCUUCCCCUGUGUUCUUAAAGACGGUCUUUUCUCUCCUUUUCCUUUCUCGCUUCACACCACAACUAACAGAGGAAUUAAUUCACACACAGCCCUCAGCCAGAUGAAUAUAUGUAUGAAAUACCGAAGAUAGGAUCUCUGUUUGCAAAUCUUCAACUCCCAUGCACGUGGUCUGAGGUUCCAGCAGGAUUUGCAGGAAUAGUUGUAAUCCCAAAUCACCAGAGGCAUUUAACUCCCUUAGCACCAAGACACAGUGCCAUGAUUAAUAAGGACUGCCACCUUAAAGUUUAACAACUUGAAAAACGGGAUUUGUCUACCUCCACUGCAGCUCUGAAAUGCAGCAGAAUGCUGCACGGAGUUGGAAACAUUUGUUUUAGCCGGCAGAUGGGAUCCUGUCUAAUAUUUAACAGAUUCCAUCACGGAGAGCUUCUUUACUAUCACAUGCCCUUCUCAGCCAAAAAGAGGAGAGGGGGAUGGGAGGGGGUCAAAGAAAAAGAGAAAGAGGAGAAAUUAAAGCCUCCUUGCCCGGCACGCUGUCACGGUACUUCCAAAUCCAGAGGGUGAAGAGAAGGUUUUUUUUUUUUUUUUUUUUUUUUUUCCUUCUUUGAUUUAUCGCAAGAAGCACCCGCCGGAAUACCUACUGCAGUUAUUUCACUCAAGUGCCAGCAGCGGCCGGAUCCCCUCGCACCGGGGCAAUGCAGCAAGCACCCAAGUGCCCAGCUCAAUCACUCGCCACCAAGUUUAACCACGCCGGGGCUCCCGCCCGGAUAAAAUGACCUUACCCGCGGGAGUCUUCCGAAAUAUCCCUCCGGUGCGAUCCGUCCAGCGAGGUGAGCGCCGCUCACUACCACCACCGCCGCCGCCACACUGCGCACUCAGCCGGAGGAGCCCCGCGUUCACUCCCGGGGCUGCUGCUGCGCUGGCCGCGAGUGCCGGGGACGCGGCGCCCAUCCAUCCGCCGCGGCCGCAGGUAA
Long non-coding RNA from Oxyura jamaicensis (ruddy duck), 1208 nucleotides. RefSeq lists it as uncharacterized. The record is from RefSeq and is a predicted model, not a curated record. The transcript has 2 exons. Lineage: Eukaryota; Metazoa; Chordata; Aves; Anseriformes; Anatidae.